Long non-coding RNA from Haplochromis burtoni (Burton's mouthbrooder), 7791 nucleotides. RefSeq lists it as uncharacterized. The transcript is spliced from 2 exons. Lineage: Eukaryota; Metazoa; Chordata; Actinopteri; Cichliformes; Cichlidae. The record is from RefSeq and is a predicted model, not a curated record.
AAGUGCUUUCCAUUUCAUUUCAUAUUUCCUUUUUUAUUCUUCUAGAAUCUUUUUCCGCUUGGUUUAGUUACUUUUCCUCUUUAUGUUAGCUUUUCUACAUUUGUUUGACACAUGGUGAACGAACAAUGAUUUGUCACUGUGUCUAAUAUUGUUAGUAUAGUUCCAGUACAAAAUGUAUACUGCAUCCUUAUCUGUGUAAUACAUACUUUUACAGGGUAGCAUUUUCUGAAAUAGAAAUUUGCAACAUUUGGCUCUGAUGAAUUAAACAGAAACUCAUAUUAACUACUUCCAUUCGCAGUCCAGCCAGAACCAGAUAGAUGUAAAACACAAAUUCGGAAAUUCCUUUAAAAAAGUGCCAUAGUUGCUGCUUCUUUAUGUAACUAGAAUAGAAGUAGUUGGUAAGCAGUUGGAGAGCAAUUUAGAGACAGGUUCCUUCACACCAGGCGACCUGUGCAAAGAUGUUGUUAUUAAAAACUCAAUGCAAUCGGUGGGCAAUGUCCACCAGUUGCAUGGAGAUUGCCAUACUAUUUUUAGUUUCGUGUGCCCGAGCCAUAACGUGGCAUUACAAUUAGUUUAGAAGCCGUGGAUAAAAAUUCUUGGUGGUCUUUUCCUUCCAUUGUAGUCAAAGUGGAAACUUUUGAGUGUGGGUUUUUAACAGGUAAUUUUGUCAGUGUUUUUUUUUUUUUUUACCUUUUCCCAGCAUGUAGUCACACUUAAAUAGUAAACAGGAGUAUGCAAUGUGAGAAACAGCACAACUCAUUUUCAAAAUGAAGGCCCCUCACUUCACACAGAGGUAGACUUUUAUUUCAGCUGAAUAACUGCUAUUGCCAGCAGAUUGCAUCAACUGUAGCUGGAUAGCCACAGCUACUUUAGCUUCCUGACAUGUACGAAAAUGCUAGAUGUCAUUUUAAUAUUCCAGGCAAAUAUGGGCUAUAUAUGCUAAACGGCUGAAGAUUAAUUCUUUUUUUGGGAUUUCAAGGAGUAUGUUUCAAUUUUAACAUUACAAGGGGAAAAAAAGGUUUUUAGUUUUAGGAUGCAUAUAAAUGUGAUCAAAUCUCAGAGGAAUACUGGUUAGAAUUAGAUACAAAUCCAAGAGUUUCAGAAAACCUAAGUAAACAAAAAACUAACCUCUUAUUAAGUUGUGUGUAGAAGUUGAAGGUAUUUUUUUAAGAUCCAGAAGGAACCAAACUGCAAAGCUAUAAACCUCCAGGAAUUAACAGGCUAGACACUAAGGAGGAGCACAGCGAUGGUACACAGAUACAGUGACAAAGACAAAAGAGAGCCAGGGCUGUAUAUUCUCACAAAGAGACACCAAGGGCCAAUCAAGGGAAGUGAAUACAGCUGUGUAAACCCAGACACAGGUGUACACAAUCAAGACAAUCAACAGAUAGAAAGUAUAAUUCAAAAGAAGGCACAAGAGAGCAAGUAACAAAAAAAUAAAUAAACAGAAAAUUCAGUCCACAUGAUACACAGAACAUUGCAGAUGCUAGAAGGGUAAACCAAUAUACAAAGAAAACACAAGUAAUGAAAGGUAAAUAACAAUCUCUAUAAAUACUAACCAAUAACUAUAAUUUUAAAAACAAAAGAAAAAACCCUCAAAAUACUGGAAUAAUUUAUGUUAACAAACAGGAAUCAAAGCACAACCUUACAUUAGUCAAAAACAAGGAGCAGUAAUGAAGCCCAACCAAUAACAGCAAAUCAUAAACAAACUGAAAUCCUACACUACUGCAGUUUAAAUGAUGUUGCUGAGCUGAGAUUUCCCUCAUCUGAAGCAAGAGGAUGUAGCUGACAUUAAGCUACUCUUUCCACACCUGCUUUCUUUGCCAGAAGUAUUCACUCGUCUGCCUUUACAUGCAUAUGAACUUGAGUGACAUCCCGCUCUUAGUCCAUAGGUUUAAUAUGAUGUCACUCCACCCUUUGUAGAUAUAACACCUUCAUAUCUGGAAAGGCUUUCCACAAGCUUUAGGGGUGUGUUUGUGAGAAUUUUUUAACCAUUAUUCUAGAAGUGCAUUUGUGAGGUCAAACACUGAUGCUGGAUCAGAAGGUAAGGCUCACAGUCUCCACUCUGAUUUGAAUUCGCUGAGCGACCUGAGAGCGACCCACUUUUUCACAAAUAUUUUUAGAACCAGUUUGCUAGCCAUUUCAUUUUAUACACCAGUAGCCAUGAAGGAACAACUGAAUUCAAUUAUUUGAAUAGGUGAAUGAAUACUUUUGGAAAUACAGUAUAGUAUCACAUGCUAGUUAGCCAGUAAAGUUGACUAAUAGCAGCAGUGUUAAAGUUUGUCUUUCUCGUGGCUAAAAAGAACAAGAUUUAUUGCCCAGCUCUGUAUCCCAGAAAUAUUUUUCUUACUAGGAGCCCUCCUGCUUACUGUUUCAACAUGUAGAGAAAUUUCAAGCUACACAGACCUCAAAUGACCAGCGCUAUAGUUGCUAAACUAGGAGUAGCUAAGCUAGGAGCGAUUUUGUGUUUGUUUGUUUUUUCUUUUUUCUUUUGUUUCUUUUUUUAAUGGUCAUUUAUUUUAAGUUACUUACUUCCGCUCUUUCUCUCUCACAGAAACAUAACUCCAUACUGGUAUUAGUGCUAUAAGCCUGGCUGUCUGUGACUGUGUUUGAUCCAGAUAGCUGCAUUUAAUAACAGUCAUUUAGCCUUUAUUCUUUUACCAUACGUUGGCAUGUCAACAGAAGAUUUUUUUUAGUACGCUAUUCAAUUGAUAAUUAAAGGGUUGUUUUGACAGAUGCAAUUGGCUGAACAAAAAGCUUAGAAGGCCUUGUCUCAUAUUGUUUUGGGGUGUGUGUCUGCCUCUUUAUAUGAUAGACAAUUUAUAUAAAGAAGACUAAAGGGAAAGAUAAAUCAUAGAUUGCUGAUCUGAAUUAGGCAUGUCCAUUAUGUCAGGUCUUUCUUUUACCUUCUUUCAUCUGUUUUUGUUACAUUUUUUUUCCCUCCAUUGUGAGAUCCAAAUGAUCGUCUCCCAGUCUUUUGUUAUGACAGGACAAAAUUAGUUUGGCUACACUGAGAGUCCUCAGGAACUUUGGCCAAGGUUUCAAUCUCCCAGACCUCCUAUUAGAGACAGGAGCUGCAGGGUCACAGGAGGAGUAUUUGUCACUUUGAUCCUCUGGCACUUAGGUCGCUCUUCUCUUUGAUAGUGUCUAUUUCUCUCUAUCUCUUUCUGCGUUCUAAUCAUACCUUGGCUGCACUUGAUUUUUUUUAUAGCCUUUAGUUCUCUCUGUGUCCAUUUUCUUUUCCACAUUCUUCAUCUUUCUCAUUUUCAAACCCCACUCUCUCAUCCUCCUUUCCAGCUUGACUCCCCCCCCACACACACACACACACAGUGCGUGCCAUAAAUCCCCUUCCUGGGGAAACAGGUAGAACAGAGAGACAGAAGCAGCUAGUUCCCUCCAGCCAUUUGUUUUUCUCAGCAGGGCUGGGGUUUUGCCUUCUAUUGCUCAUGCUCCCUCCCUCUUCCUACUUCCACUCCCUUUCAUCCUCUAUCCCUCCUUCCCUCCCUCGCCCUCUAUUGCUCCAUUCCUCCCGCCCAGUGCUCCAGAUUCCCACCAUCUGGACUCAGUGGUUGCCAAAGGUAUGGAGGCUCUUUUAGUAACUCCCUGAGUACAGGAGUAUGGUGCAGAAAAUCCACUUUGGUUCAUUGCAUCAUCUAUGAAACCUGCCAUGCCUCAGUCUCCUAAUUCCAGCUCUCGAUAGUUAAAAUUUUUAAUUUUAUUCUAAAACUAAAAUGCCAUGAAAUCAGGCAAUACCCUGCAGUAGAAGAAGUGCAUAUCAUCUCCUGUCUGCGACUUGUAAGACUGUUUCUCGACAAGACUUGCAAAAUAUUGGUGUAGCUCAUGUAAUUAGAUGGCACCUUGGUUUAAACUCACUUUACCAAGACAGGUAGACAAGCCAGUAGACGUUCUCCCAUCGCUCUAUGUCUGACGUCUUCUCAGGCUGUGUUAGCAUGUGAAAAGUAUGAGUUGAGAGUUUUGGCCCACAGUCCUUGGAUUUCGGAUUCAGUCAACAUGUGAGCAGCAUACAUGUUACCAUGCCGACAGACACAUGCAAACACACCAUAGUUAGGCAGCAGGCCAUUAUUAGCCCAUAAAUUCUGUCGCCUGGAAAAGUGUAUUGUGCCAAAGGAGAGUGUGUGUGCAUAUGCAUGGAUGCCCAUGUGCCAAGCCAUGGGGACAUCUGUGGGAACAGUGAGUUGGCUCUAAUGGCCAAGUUGGCCAUUAAAUUGUGCCUGGGGAGAGACCCCUCAGAGGAAUGUAAUGUGUACCACUGAGCUUUGGCUCGGGCUCUCUGUCGUGGGAACCCUGAGUUGUUAGCAAAUGCUCAAAUCACGCUCCUCAGAAUAGAUAGCAAGUAAAUGUUCACUGAUCAUAGAGUUUCGAGUAAAGAUGCACAUGGCUCCUGUGACAUUACUGUUGGUGUGGAAAGUCCUGCUGUAAAUUCUCAAACAGAGAAUUUCUCCGCCAUAAGCAUUGCAUCAACUCGACUUGACAAGCCGGAUCUGAUACUCAGAUCAAGGGAUGCUGCAUACUUACGUAUACUUAUAGACCUUGUUUUUUCUAACAUAGGCUGACCAUAAUGAACAAAAUAAGCAUUGCUCUGUAUUCAUUAAGGUGUGAAACUAGCAUUCCAUCAUGAUCUGUUUUCCUGCGUAAUUACAACUGGACUUCUUUUUGCAACCACAGGAGUCUCCCCCUACUGGCCAGUAAAAGGAAUGUAGGUUUAAGACUCGUUUGUAUUAGCUUAACUUUUCAGGCAUAAAGGUGUGCCCAUCUUUAAUGUGAUCUGUGACAGUAUCUGAGUGAAACACUGACAAGCUUGGUAUUUAGAAAAAUAUUAUAGCAGUUAAUUCACUUAUUCUAUUGUAGAGUUUACAAAGACAGAACAAUGGUCAAUGUUUUGUUUAUAAUAGUUUUAACGAAUGGUAAACUACAGUUUCUACAUAUCCUUCAGUAGUGCCCAGAUUGUGCAUUUCUUUCAAAGGCCAUGCCUCCAGUUUGUAUUAGCAUAUUUUUAAGACUCAGUCUAGAAAAAAAGGUUAACCUGAUGAUUAUCAUUGAUCAUUAUUUGAGCCUUUUUAGUUAUGGGGGAAGAGCAGGGUGCUGCAGCAUUAAGAAAGAAAUCUGGGAUAUUUUUAAAGCCUAUAGUGCUUUUAAAGGAGGGCAAUUGAGGUCUGCUACUUGUCUUCAGGAUUUAAGAUACAUAGAAAGUUUUAUUUAGUCAAGGGAAAAUCUAUCAAGAGUAGCAUUUAUUUAUUAUAGUCAUAUGAUAUGUAAUAUAUGAUGAUAAUGAAUCUUUUUACCUAAAAUCUUCCAAUGCUUCCUUCAGAGCCAUACAAAACUUUAUACAGCUAAUUUCACAGGCAUGACUGAUCUAAUCUUUAAGUGUAAAAUGACUGGAGAGUUCCAACAUAUGUCCAAUCUCUGCACAGGCAACAAAGUCUGCAUAAAAUUGCCCAGCACGUGUCUUUUCUCUCCAUUGACCAGUACAAACAAUGCAAACUGCAGUACUAUAAUUUUGUUGGAUUUCCGAAAUUUACAAAGAAAAAACAAGCAGUGUUUCUCAUUUCUCUGCCGCCUUCCUGCUUAAGCCCCAUUUCUGGCAGCCAGUUGUAAAUUAGAAGAGAGGAACAAUUAAAUUCUCAGGGACAAUGUUCAGAUAGACAUUGUCUGCAUUGUGUGAGUGUGCCUGUGAAAUGAAUUCAGAUUCCACAUAAUGCUGUGCUUGUAUGGUUCCAGUAUCCUUUUUUUCAGUCAUUCAGUCAUUGUUCCUAAUGCUGCAGAAACUGUGUGCCAAUAGUGCAAAAGUUAGCUGCAGUGCGAUUUGCUGUCAUAAGAAAAUGUUUUUCCUUUUAUUGUGAAACACUUACUCUCACAUUUUUUGUCUCUUUUGGAGUGCAUUUUCUGCAUUCAGGCUAUUUUCAUAUUUUAUUUUUUUGAUCUAUCAUCUGUUUUCAGUAAUGUUUAUUUCAUUUUUAUUUAUUCAGCUUUUCUUUUUGAGAUGUGUCUUAAACAGGCCCCUUGGGCCUCCUGCUAAGUUACUAUCUGGUGCUUUUGUGUGAUAUUUCUGUCUCUUUUAUUUUUUAUGUUUUUAAAUAAAAGCAAAAGCUAAAUUGACUUUGCUUUCAAACCUGCACUCUUCUCUGAGUCAGGGAUUUAUAAACCUUAUCAUCUUUGGUCUCCAGCACAGAUUUGUGCCUUACCUUUGGUGGUUUUAAGUAAGUCGUCUGCCUGCCUUUUAAAGUCUGUGCCCAGUUCACCUGGCUUGAACUGCAACCCUGCAGUACAUGGAGAAUGAGUCUGAAUAGUUCAUGCAGCUCAAGGAGACAUGCUGACACUGAUGGAUCCUGUUGGUCAUAAUGCCUAACAGUAUAUAGUCAGAGUGAAAAGCAUCUGAAUAAUGUUAUCUGUGAUCAGACUGAAAGUCUGUCAGGCUUGAAGGACAGAUGCAGUCUGUUCGGGUCUUUUUUUUCUGCUUUCUUUAUUUUGUAUUUUCUGGCCUAUUUUUGUAGUUCUGCUUCUUUUAUAUCAGCACAAUAUCUCAACAUUAGUCACUCUAGAGCAGCCUUCAGUUUACACGGACCAAGAAGGAUGAAAUCGGAAGUCACUGGGCUUUUUAAUAUCAGCAACGAUUAAAACGUUUAUCCUUUUUUGUACUGAACUGAUUAGUCGAGGAGGAAGGAAGACUGUAAAUGUAGAAGUGACUCAUUGCGAGUUCUGUGCUGUUUCCCUUAAGGAAAAAAAGACACAUAGAGAUUUAUUUUGCGUUCCCAUAAGGGGCACCACGUGAUUACCGCCGCCCUAUAAUACCUUUGUCUGUUAGCAGUUCCUGCUUUGGUGUUAUUUGUUUGUCUCGGCCAGCUGUGCAUCCAUAUGUAGGCCUACUUCCUGCCAAAUAAAAAGAAAAGCAAAAAAAAACCCAGAAUCAUAUAGGAAUUGCUUAGCAUAUAACUGCACUCCUAAAGAUGAAAACAUGUUCAUAAACCCUUAAAAAGUAAAAAGGAAGUCUGCAAACAAGGUCAACUUCUUGCCUGAAGGCUUUCACUGAGCUGUAUGAAUCAUUGCAUUGGUUAUGCUGUUAUAAACAGGAUUUUAAAAAAUCAAUUAAGCCCUCUGUACUUUAUGUUUGAUGUCUCCCACCCAGGGUUAUCUGUUUCAGGCUGCAUAAGUGGGUUAGGUAAUGUGCUUCACCACACAUAACAUAUUAUUAGGAGCAAAGGCCAUGUUGCUUCAUUACACUGUAUAUUUGAAUAAAAGGCAAUAAUUUGCCGUGCGAGUCUGUGAUAUUUGUCUGUAAGAAAUGUACUUUGAGAAAAAAAAAUGUUCCCCAAAAUAAGAUUAAUGAAUGCGGCGCAUUAGUAUAAAGACUUCCGUGUCAAACUUCUAAGAAAAGUAUGAAAAGAGUCUUUUCAUGUUUUGUUUUUUUGUUUUGUUUUGGGGCUUUUUCUGAAACAGGGUCUGUGUGGAAAUCUUUAAGCUAAUUUACUGAUCCAGACAACAAUGUGAGUGAGUUUAAUUAACAUUCCCUGCCUGCUCUCUACUGCAAAUUGCAGCCUUUUUCUUUUUCCUUAUCGGCUUUACUGUACUGUAUAUGCUGCAUGACUAAGUCUGACAUUAUCUGCCAGGCGGGUUUAUGUAACAUUAGCUGUACAAUAUGCUGUAAACACAGCUGGCUCUAUACGGCAAAACAGUGCCAAGCAAAGUGCAGACGGUAAUUAUCCUUGUUUUUUUUUUUAUUUAAUUAUUUAUUUUAGUUGGGAAAUGUGUUUUGCUGGUUUCAUUAGUAUCUCA